Molecule: ribosomal RNA, 397 nt
Filed under: uncultured bacterium
Lineage: Bacteria
Description: bacterial SSU rRNA
Rfam family: Bacterial small subunit ribosomal RNA
Source: RNAcentral
AGUGAACGCUGGCGGCAGGCCUAACACAUGCAAGUCGAGCGGCAGCGGGUUCCCGCGAGGGGAUGCCGGCGAGCGGCGGACGGGUGAGGAACACAUCGGAAUCUGCCUGGUUGUGGGGGAUAACGUAGGGAAACUUACGCUAAUACCGCAUGAGACCCUGAGUCGACGGACUGGGGGUGAAAGUGAGGGACCUUCGGGCCUCACGCGACCAGAUGAGCCGAUGUCGGAUUAGCUAGUUGGCGGGGUAACGGCCCGCCAAGGCGACGAUCCGUAGCUGGUCUGAGAGGAUGAUCAGCCACACUGGGACUGAGACACGGCCCAGACUCCUACGGGGGGCAGCAGUGGGGAAUCUUGCGCAAUGGGCGAAAGCCUGACGCAGCGACGCCGCGUGAGGGAU